UACGAGGGCCCCAAGCGUUAUCCGGAUUUAUUGGGCGUAAAGCGUGCGCAGAUGGUUUUGUGCGUCUUGUGUUAAAUGUCUCCGCUUAACGGAGUCACCGCAUAGGAUACGGCAAAACUAGAGGAUGUAAGAGGUGACUAGAACUCACGGUGUAGGGGUGAAAUCCGUUGAUAUCGUGGGGAAUACCGAAGGCGAAGGCAUGUCACUGGUGCAUUCCUGACAUUCAGGCACGAAAGCGUGGGUCGCGAAUGGG
This 253-nucleotide ribosomal RNA is filed under the name uncultured bacterium. RNAcentral's name for it is "partial 16S ribosomal RNA". It matches the Rfam family "Bacterial small subunit ribosomal RNA", at positions 524 to 776 of the family's 1533-position model. The record is from RNAcentral.